RNAcentral lists this ribosomal RNA (497 nucleotides) under uncultured bacterium. Its description in RNAcentral is "partial 16S ribosomal RNA". It matches the Rfam family "Bacterial small subunit ribosomal RNA", at positions 29 to 507 of the family's 1533-position model. The record is from RNAcentral.
AACGAACGCUGGCGGCGUGCCUAAUACAUGCAAGUUGAGCGCUGAAGGUUGGUACUUGUACCAACUGGAUGAGCAGCGAACGGGUGAGUAACGCGUGGGGAAUCUGCCUUUGAGCGGGGGACAACAUUUGGAAACGAAUGCUAAUACCGCAUAAAAACUUUAAACACAAGUUUUAAGAUUGAAAGAUGCAAUUGCAUCACUCAAAGAUGAUCCCGCGUUGUAUUAGCUAGUUGGUGAGGUAAAGGCUCAACAAGGCGAAGAUACCUAGCCGACCUGAGAGGGGGAUCGGCCACAUUGGGACUGGGACACGGCCCAAACUCCUACGGGAGGCAGCAGGAGGGAAUCUUCGGCAAUGGACGGAAGUCUGACCGAGCAACGCCGCGUGAGUGAAGAAGGGUUUCGGAUCGUAAAACUCGGUUUGUAGAGAGGAACGUUGGUGGGAGUGGAAAGCUCAUCAAGUGACGGUAACUACCCAGAAAGGGACGGCUAACUACGUG